CAAGGUUAACUUGAAAUAUUGACUUAGCAAGAGUGUACUAAUAAGCAGUCUUUCUGAAAUAAUGUAUUAGGUUCUUCCAACUCGUUAUAUCAGCUAGGCAGGUUUAGAAGUAUUUUAGGCUCGGCUUAACAACAAUAAACUAAAAGUUUGACCUCAAAUCAGGUAGGACUACCCGCUGAACUUAAGCAUAUCAAUAAGCGGAGGAAAAGAAACCAACAGGGAUUGCCUCAGUAACGGCGAGUGAAGCGGCAAAAGCUCAAAUUUGAAAUCUAGCACCUUCGGUGUUCGAGUUGUAAUUUGAAGAUGGUAACCUUGGGUUUGGCUCUUGUCUAUGUUCCUUGGAACAGGACGUCAUAGAGGGUGAGAAUCCCGUCUGAUGAGAUGCCCAUUCCUAUGUAAGGUGCUAUCGAAGAGUCGAGUUGUUUGGGAAUGCAGCUCUAAGUGGGUGGUAAAUUCCAUCUAAAGCUAAAUAUUGGCGAGAGACCGAUAGCGAACAAGUACAGUGAUGGAAAGAUGAAAAGAACUUUGAAAAGAGAGUGAAAAAGUACGUGAAAUUGUUGAAAGGGAAGGGCAUUAGAUCAGACUUGGUGUUUUACGAUUAUCUUCUCUUCUUGAGUUGUGCACUCGUAUUUCACUGGGCCAGCAUCGAUUCGGAUGGCAAGAUAAUGGCAGUUGAAUGUGGCUUCACUUCGGUGGAGUGUUAUAGCUUCUGCUGAUAUUGCCUGUCUGGAUCGAGGGCUGCGUCUUUUGACUAGGAUGCUGGCGUAAUGAUCUAAUGCCGCCCGUCUUGAAACACGGACCAAGGAGUCUAACGUCUAUGCGAGUGUUUGGGUGUAAAACCCGUACGCGUAAUGAAAGUGAACGUAGGUGAGAGCUCUUUUUUGAGUGCAUCAUCGACCGAUCCUGAUGUUUUCGGAUGGAUUUGAGUAAGAG
RNAcentral lists this ribosomal RNA (933 nucleotides) under Hansenula anomala. RNAcentral's name for it is "LSU rRNA". The stretch from base 149 to 933 matches the Rfam family "Eukaryotic large subunit ribosomal RNA", at positions 1 to 800 of the family's 3401-position model. Lineage: Eukaryota; Fungi; Ascomycota; Saccharomycetes; Phaffomycetales; Wickerhamomycetaceae. The record is from RNAcentral.